This 72-nucleotide transfer RNA is filed under the name Ovis aries (sheep). It matches the Rfam family "tRNA". Rfam says of the family: Transfer RNA (tRNA) molecules are approximately 80 nucleotides in length. Their secondary structure includes four short double-helical elements and three loops (D, anti-codon, and T loops). The record is from Rfam by way of RNAcentral. Lineage: Eukaryota; Metazoa; Chordata; Mammalia; Artiodactyla; Bovidae.
UCCUUGGUAGUCCAGUGGCUAAGACUCCAUGUUCCUAAAGCAGGGACCUAGGUUUGAUUCCUGGUCAAGGAA